This is a long non-coding RNA of Myotis brandtii (Brandt's bat), 982 nucleotides long. RefSeq lists it as uncharacterized. The transcript is spliced from 3 exons. NCBI's taxonomy places the organism in Eukaryota, Metazoa, Chordata, Mammalia, Chiroptera, Vespertilionidae. The record is from RefSeq and is a predicted model, not a curated record.
UAGGCUCAGCAUUGGGCUCCGAGGCCAGGGAACCAGAUAUACAUCCCGAGGCCUCCAGAGCCAGCCCCCAGCUGCAAUCGGAGAGGGGACAACAGUCACCGGACAAAGAUCACGGUCAGGGCUGGGUGGACUGGCCAGGCCCCUCCCCCAGACUUGGCCAUGUUCCUCACCGGGACCACUCAGCCCACUGUGAAGGUAAAAACAAAAGUUGACCCAGUUAAAGAAAAACAUUAGGUGAAUAAUAGUGCCAGUUUAAAUCUCGGAUGAGGGAGGUGGCCAUCGUGAGGAUGGAUGCAUGCAACCUCGUCUGACAAGUGCAGGGUGGAUGGUGCAAGGUAUUGGACAGAUGGGGACACCAAAGGGGCUCGAGGCCAGAACAUCUGGGGAAGAUCUGACCACUUGAAGUGCCCACUGGGAACAGCUGGCUACCCUCCCUGGCCCGGAGGUGAGUGGUGGUGAUGGCAGACCCCCAUCCCCGUGCUCUGGAGUGACGCAGCUACAAAACACGGAACGCCAGGACUGACGGCAGCGGCCAGAAGCCGGGAGAGGCAGGCAGGGCUCUCCCCUGGAGCCUCCAGAGGGAGCACGGCCCUGCCCACACCUGGAUCUCACACUUCCGGCCUGUAGAGUCGUGGGACAUUACAUUCUUGUUGGUUUAAGCCACCCAGUUAGUGGCACUUGGCUGCGCAGCCCUGGGAAACUAGUAUACCCACCUGGACCAAUCACUGUCACGGUGACGAGGACCCUUAUUUUAUCCAAAAGCAGGAGACCGGCUUUCUCGGUGUCCCCUCGGCCCACUGGCCUGCUGCCUGCAGCUGACCCAUGUGCUCAUGUGGGGUCUGUGUUGGUUAACUUCAUGUGUCACCUCCCGCCUGAUGGCCUCCCACUGACACGCUGGCCUCGGGGUCUCUGGUUUGACUUGUCAGCCUCCAAAACCACAUGAGUGAAUUCCUUACAAUAAACAAACAAAUAAGCACACGCA